RNAcentral lists this ribosomal RNA (393 nucleotides) under uncultured bacterium. RNAcentral's name for it is "bacterial SSU rRNA". It matches the Rfam family "Bacterial small subunit ribosomal RNA", at positions 28 to 420 of the family's 1533-position model. The record is from RNAcentral.
GACGAACGCUGGCGGCGUGCUUAACACAUGCAAGUCGAGCGGUAAGGCCCUUUCGGGGGUACGACGAGCGGCGAACGGGUGAGUAACACGUGGGUGACCUGCCCUCAGCUCUGGGAUAAGCCUGGGAAACCGGGUCUAAUACUGGAUAUGACUCCAUGACGCAUGUUGUGGGGUGGAAAGCCUUGUGCGGCUGAGGAUGGGCCCGCGGCCUAUCAGCUUGUUGGUGGGGUGANGGCCUACCAAGGCGACGACGGGUAGCCGGCCUGAGAGGGCGACCGGCCACACUGGGACUGAGACACGGCCCAGACUCCUACGGGAGGCAGCAGGUGGGGAAUCUUGCGCAAUGGGCGAAAGCCUGACGCAGCGACGCCGCGUGAGGGAUGACGGCCUCGG